CUGGAUGAUGUGUGUGUGUGCUGGAUGAUGGGUGUUUGUGUGAGUGCUGGAUGAUGGGUGUGUGUGCUGGAUGAUGGGUGUGUGAGUGCUGGAUGAUGUGUGUGUGCUGGAUGAUGUGUGUGUGUGUGUGUGUGCUGGGAUGAUGUGUGUGUGAGUGCUGGAUGAUGUGUGUGUGUGCUGGAUGAUGUGUGUGUGUGUGCUGGAUGAGGUGUGUGUGUGUGCUGGAUGAUGGGUGUGUGAGUGCUGGAUGAUGUGUGUGUGUGUGCUGGAUGAUGUGUGUGUGUGUGUGCUGGAUGAUGUGUGUGUGUGCUGGAUGAUGGGUGUGUGUGAGUGCUGGAUGAUGGGUGUGUGAGUGCUGGAUGAUGUGUGUG
Molecule: non-coding RNA, 371 nt
Organism: Pelobates cultripes (western spadefoot toad)
Lineage: Eukaryota; Metazoa; Chordata; Amphibia; Anura; Pelobatidae
Source: the annotation of a GenBank genome assembly